This 557-nucleotide long non-coding RNA is filed under the name Panicum hallii. RNAcentral describes it as "long non-coding RNA (PHAL_LNC000282)". Lineage: Eukaryota; Viridiplantae; Streptophyta; Magnoliopsida; Poales; Poaceae. The record is from RNAcentral.
GCGCGGGCGGGCGCGGCGCUUGGAGGACGGCCGGAGCCGCCGCCGCCCUCGCCGCCGCGGCGCUCUCCUGGUGCUGAUCGCACGUGCUGAUGGCGUAUCACGUUCCAGAUUCGAGGGGUGUUCCUUCUUUUUUUUUGGUGUGGAGAGGUGCGGUUGGUAGCACGAGCUGAGUAGUAGUAGUACCAGCAGCAGCAGUAGAUCGGCUGAUGCGUAUGUACUGGUACGCUGUUCUGGAAUCUGAAUCGAAGAUUGUGAUUAGAUGUAGCUCUGUAGUCUAGACGAGUUUGCGAUUAGCGUUGAGUAAUUGUCACGCACGAAAAAUGCAGAGGAGUUGAAGGCAUUGCCGGCUUGCUUUUGCUGUACUGUACAUUUGAAUCGGCAGAUGCUCUCUGGUUCCUGUAACUUGUGGUAUGAACAUUGCUUCAGAAAUACUUGGUAUUGGUAAUUUGGUAUAGCCUUCUGGGAAUUGAGCAUGUACGGUGUGCACUUCACUUGAGUAGUACUAGGUUACAAGUUCCUUUUAUUUGAGGGUGUUUUGAACAACCCGUGUCAAUCUG